CACCUCUAAGGAAGGCAGCAGGCGCGCAAAUUACCCAAUCCUGACUCAGGGAGGUAGUGACAAGAAAUAACAAUAAACCGGCUUAUGCCGGUUUAAUUGGAAUGAGUACAAUUUAAACAUCUUAACGAGGAACAAUUGGAGGGCAAGUCUGGUGCCAGCAGCCGCGGUAAUUCCAGCUCCAAUAGCGUAUACUAAAGUUGUUGCAGUUAAAAAGCUCGUAGUUGGAUUUCUGUGGGGACGGAGCGGCCGGCCGCACAUCGCGGUUCGAGCUAGCGCUUUCCCUACAUCCUGCCGCGAACCGUGCUACCAUUAGUUUGGUGGCGCCGGGGAUCGGCUCGAUUACUUUGAGAAAAAUAGAGUGUUCAAAGCAGGCCACAUGCCUUGAAUAAGUUAGCAUGGAAUAAUAACUAAGGACUUCGGUUCUAUUUUGUUGGUGUUCGGGACUGAAGUAAUGAUUGAUAGGGACAGUUGGGGCGGUCUGUAUUCCAAAGCGAGAGGUGAAAUCCUUAGACCUUCGGAAGACAAACAGCUGCGAAAGCGUUCCGCAAGGAUGUUCCCUUUGAUCAAGAACGAAAGUUGGGGGAUCGAAGACGAUCAGAUACCGUCGUAGUCUCAACUAUAAACUAUACCAGCUAGGGAUCGGCCAACGUUAUUUUAUACCGACUUGGUCGGCACCUUAUGAGAAAUCAAAGCAUCUGGGUUCCGGGGGGAGUAUGGUCGCAAGGCUGAAACUUAAAGGAAUUGACGGAAGGGCACCACCAGCCGUGGAGCCUGUGGCUUAAUUUGACUCAACACGGGAAAACUUACCAGGUCCAGACAUAGUAAGGAUUGACAGAUUGAUAGCUCUUUCUUGAUUCUGUGGGUGGUGGUGCAUGGCCGUUCUUAGUUGGUGGAGUGAUUUGUCUGGUUAAUUCCGUUAACGAACGAGACCCCAGCCUGUUAAAUAGCGCGCGUGAGCUUUGCUCGCGGCGAGCUUCUUAGAGGGACUAUGAUGCGCGAUAGCACAUGGAAGUUUGGGGCAAUAACAGGUCUGUGAUGCCCUUAGAUGUUCUGGGCCGCACACGGGCUACACUGGCGCCUGCAACGAGCAUAUCAGCUGGCCCGAGAGGGUCUUGGCUAAUCUUUUGAACCGGCGCCGUGCUUGGGAUUGACCUUUGCAAUUGUUGGUCAUGCAACGAGGAAUGCCUUGUAAACGCGAGUCAUCAGCUCGCAUUGAAUACGUCCCUGCCCUUUGUACACACCGCCCGUCGCUCCUACCGAUGAAUGUUCCGAUGAAAUUUUCGGAGAGCACCUGUGAACUUGGCUCUGCCUUGCGAACGGGAGGCUCAAAGUCACUUAAAUCUGAACAUUUCGAGG
RNAcentral lists this ribosomal RNA (1356 nucleotides) under uncultured marine eukaryote. RNAcentral's name for it is "SSU rRNA". It matches the Rfam family "Eukaryotic small subunit ribosomal RNA", at positions 411 to 1779 of the family's 1831-position model. The record is from RNAcentral.